This 2582-nucleotide ribosomal RNA is filed under the name Escherichia coli. Its description in RNAcentral is "partial 23S ribosomal RNA". It matches the Rfam family "Bacterial large subunit ribosomal RNA", at positions 372 to 2925 of the family's 2925-position model. Lineage: Bacteria; Pseudomonadati; Pseudomonadota; Gammaproteobacteria; Enterobacterales; Enterobacteriaceae. The record is from RNAcentral. RNAcentral also lists the same sequence under 1 other name.
CCCGUACACAAAAAUGCACAUACUGUGAGCUCGAUGAGUAGGGCGGGACACGUGGUAUCCUGUCUGAAUAUGGGGGGACCAUCCUCCAAGGCUAAAUACUCCUGACUGACCGAUAGUGAACCAGUACCGUGAGGGAAAGGCGAAAAGAACCCCGGCGAGGGGAGUGAAAAAGAACCUGAAACCGUGUACGUACAAGCAGUGGGAGCACGCUUAGGCGUGUGACUGCGUACCUUUUGUAUAAUGGGUCAGCGACUUAUAUUCUGUAGCAAGGUUAACCGAAUAGGGGAGCCGAAGGGAAACCGAGUCUUAACUGGGCGUUAAGUUGCAGGGUAUAGACCCGAAACCCGGUGAUCUAGCCAUGGGCAGGUUGAAGGUUGGGUAACACUAACUGGAGGACCGAACCGACUAAUGUUGAAAAAUUAGCGGAUGACUUGUGGCUGGGGGUGAAAGGCCAAUCAAACCGGGAGAUAGCUGGUUCUCCCCGAAAGCUAUUUAGGUAGCGCCUCGUGAAUUCAUCUCCGGGGGUAGAGCACUGUUUCGGCAAGGGGGUCAUCCCGACUUACCAACCCGAUGCAAACUGCGAAUACCGGAGAAUGUUAUUACGGGAGACACACGGCGGGUGCUAACGUCCGUCGUGAAGAGGGAAACAACCCAGACCGCCAGCUAAGGUCCCAAAGUCAUGGUUAAGUGGGAAACGAUGUGGGAAGGCCCAGACAGCCAGGAUGUUGGCUUAGAAGCAGCCAUCAUUUAAAGAAAGCGUAAUAGCUCACUGGUCGAGUCGGCCUGCGCGGAAGAUGUAACGGGGCUAAACCAUGCACCGAAGCUGCGGCAGCGACGCUUAUGCGUUGUUGGGUAGGGGAGCGUUCUGUAAGCCUGUGAAGGUGUGCUGUGAGGUAUGCUGGAGGUAUCAGAAGUGCGAAUGCUGACAUAAGUAACGAUAAAGCGGGUGAAAAGCCCGCUCGCCGGAAGACCAAGGGUUCCUGUCCAACGUUAAUCGGGGCAGGGUGAGUCGACCCCUAAGGCGAGGCCGAAAGGCGUAGUCGAUGGGAAACAGGUUAAUAUUCCUGUACUUGGUGUUACUGCGAAGGGGGGACGGAGAAGGCUAUGUUGGCCGGGCGACGGUUGUCCCGGUUUAAGCGUGUAGGCUGGUUUUCCAGGCAAAUCCGGAAAAUCAAGGCCGAGGCGUGAUGACGAGGCACUACGGUGCUGAAGCAACAAAUGCCCUGCUUCCAGGAAAAGCCUCUAAGCAUCAGGUAACAUCAAAUCGUACCCCAAACCGACACAGGUGGUCAGGUAGAGAAUACCAAGGCGCUUGAGAGAACUCGGGUGAAGGAACUAGGCAAAAUGGUGCCGUAACUUCGGGAGAAGGCACGCUGAUACGUAGGUGAAGCGACUUGCUCGUGGAGCUGAAAUCAGUCGAAGAUACCAGCUGGCUGCAACUGUUUAUUAAAAACACAGCACUGUGCAAACACGAAAGUGGACGUAUACGGUGUGACGCCUGCCCGGUGCCGGAAGGUUAAUUGAUGGGGUUAGCGCAAGCGAAGCUCUUGAUCGAAGCCCCGGUAAACGGCGGCCGUAACUAUAACGGUCCUAAGGUAGCGAAAUUCCUUGUCGGGUAAGUUCCGACCUGCACGAAUGGCGUAAUGAUGGCCAGGCUGUCUCCACCCGAGACUCAGUGAAAUUGAACUCGCUGUGAAGAUGCAGUGUACCCGCGGCAAGACGGAAAGACCCCGUGAACCUUUACUAUAGCUUGACACUGAACAUUGAGCCUUGAUGUGUAGGAUAGGUGGGAGGCUUUGAAGUGUGGACGCCAGUCUGCAUGGAGCCGACCUUGAAAUACCACCCUUUAAUGUUUGAUGUUCUAACGUGGACCCGUGAUCCGGGUUGCGGACAGUGUCUGGUGGGUAGUUUGACUGGGGCGGUCUCCUCCUAAAGAGUAACGGAGGAGCACGAAGGUUGGCUAAUCCUGGUCGGACAUCAGGAGGUUAGUGCAAUGGCAUAAGCCAGCUUGACUGCGAGCGUGACGGCGCGAGCAGGUGCGAAAGCAGGUCAUAGUGAUCCGGUGGUUCUGAAUGGAAGGGCCAUCGCUCAACGGAUAAAAGGUACUCCGGGGAUAACAGGCUGAUACCGCCCAAGAGUUCAUAUCGACGGCGGUGUUUGGCACCUCGAUGUCGGCUCAUCACAUCCUGGGGCUGAAGUAGGUCCCAAGGGUAUGGCUGUUCGCCAUUUAAAGUGGUACGCGAGCUGGGUUUAGAACGUCGUGAGACAGUUCGGUCCCUAUCUGCCGUGGGCGCUGGAGAACUGAGGGGGGCUGCUCCUAGUACGAGAGGACCGGAGUGGACGCAUCACUGGUGUUCGGGUUGUCAUGCCAAUGGCACUGCCCGGUAGCUAAAUGCGGAAGAGAUAAGUGCUGAAAGCAUCUAAGCACGAAACUUGCCCCGAGAUGAGUUCUCCCUGACCCUUUAAGGGUCCUGAAGGAACGUUGAAGACGACGACGUUGAUAGGCCGGGUGUGUAAGCGCAGCGAUGCGUUGAGCUAACCGGUACUAAUGAACCGUGAGGCUUAACCUUACAACGCCGAAG